Molecule: transfer RNA, 81 nt
Filed under: Danio rerio (zebrafish)
Lineage: Eukaryota; Metazoa; Chordata; Actinopteri; Cypriniformes; Danionidae
Rfam family: tRNA
About the family: Transfer RNA (tRNA) molecules are approximately 80 nucleotides in length. Their secondary structure includes four short double-helical elements and three loops (D, anti-codon, and T loops).
Source: Rfam by way of RNAcentral
GUCAGAAUGGCUGAGGUUCUCUCAGGUAUUGAGAAUUCUGGUCUCCAGUUGGAGGCGUGGGUUCAAAUCCCACUUCUGACA